Molecule: ribosomal RNA, 253 nt
Filed under: uncultured prokaryote
Description: partial 16S ribosomal RNA
Rfam family: Bacterial small subunit ribosomal RNA
Source: RNAcentral
ACAGAGGUCCCAAGCGUUGUUCGGAUUUACUGGGCGUAAAGGGCGCGUAGGUGGCAAUAAAAGUCUGGUGUGAAAUCUCUGAGCUCAACUCAGAAACUGCACUAGAAACUGCAUUGCUAGAGUGUUGAAGGGGAGAUUGGAAUUCUCGGUGUAGCAGUGAAAUGCGUAGAUAUCGAGAGGAACACCAGUGGCGAAGGCGAGUCUCUGGACAGCAACUGACGCUGAGGCACGAAGGUCAGGGGAGCAAACGGGA